RNAcentral lists this ribosomal RNA (773 nucleotides) under uncultured Neocallimastigales. RNAcentral describes it as "partial large subunit ribosomal RNA". It matches the Rfam family "Eukaryotic large subunit ribosomal RNA", at positions 19 to 643 of the family's 3401-position model. The record is from RNAcentral. Lineage: Eukaryota; Fungi; Neocallimastigomycota; Neocallimastigomycetes; Neocallimastigales.
CGAGCACGCGCGUGUGGCAUAUCAAUAAGCGGAGGAAAAGAAACUAACAAGGAUUCCCUUAGUAACGGCGAGUGAAGCGGGAAGAGCUCAAAUUUGAAAUCUUCAAGGUUCUACCUUGACGAAUUGUAGUUUAUAGAAGUGUUUUCUGUUAGUGAGUGGCUAAAAGUUCUUUGGAAUAGGACAUCAUAGAGGGUGAGAAUCCCGUAUUUGAUCAUUUCUUCUAGCUGUGUGAUACACUUUCAACGAGUCGGAUCGUUUGGGAAUGCAGUCCAAAAUGGGUGGUAAAUUUCAUCUAAAGCUAAAUAUUGGCGAGAGACCGAUAGCGAACAAGUACCGUGAGGGAAAGACGAAAAGAACUUUGAAAAGAGAGUUAAACAGUACGUGAAAUUGUCAAAAGGGAAGCGUUUGACACCAGUGUUGUUUUUCCGAAAAUCAAUUACGAAUGUUUUAUUUUUGAGGAGUUAUGACUUCAUCGGCUUGCUCCUUUCUUUACGAAACUUUCUUAAUGCACUUUUCGGUUAACAAGUCAACAUCAAUUUCUUUUGUUGUAAAAGGGUAUGAGGAAGGUGGCUUUCUUUUCGGAGAAAGUGUUUAUAGCCUUGUGCCUCUACAAUCGGAGAGAUUGAGGUCUGCAGCGUAGAUCCUUCGGGGUUAGAUACGUUUGUGCUAAGUUAUAGCUUUUCAUAGACAACUUGUUGACUAUGUUUAGUCUUGUAGCUUACUCGCUGACGCUAUUUUACCUACGCUUAGGAUGUUGAGCGCAUGUCUCUCUC